RNAcentral lists this unclassified non-coding RNA (227 nucleotides) under plant metagenome. RNAcentral's name for it is "partial contains small subunit ribosomal RNA, internal transcribed spacer 1, and 5.8S ribosomal RNA". The stretch from base 159 to 227 matches the Rfam family "5.8S ribosomal RNA", at positions 1 to 53 of the family's 154-position model. The record is from RNAcentral.
GUAGGUGAACCUGCGGAAGGAUCAUUAGAGAUUGGCCUUCUGGCCGUGUCUGUUCCACACACACCGUGAACUUUUGUACGUCUUGGGGCUCUCGGGCCCCAGACGCCAAACACCGAAAACUUUAGUGUAAUGAAUGUAAAUCGUCGUAACAAAAACAAAACUUUCAACAACGGAUCUCUUGGCUCUCGCAUCGAUGAAGAACGCAGCAUCUGACUGACUCGGGCAUA